AAGCUUGGUGCUUGCACCGAGCGGAUGAGUUGCGAACGGGUGAGUAACGCGUAGGUAACCUGCCUCUUAGCGGGGGAUAACUAUUGGAAACGAUAGCUAAUACCGCAUAAAAGUCGACAUCGCAUGAUAUUGAUUUGAAAGGUGCAAUUGCAUCACUAAGAGAUGGACCUGCGUUGUAUUAGCUAGUUGGUGAGGUAACGGCUCACCAAGGUGACGAUACAUAGCCGACCUGAGAGGGUGAUCGGCCACACUGGGACUGAGACACGGCCCAGACUCCUACGGGAGGCAGCAGUAGGGAAUCUUCGGCAAUGGGGGCAACCCUGACCGAGCAACGCCGCGUGAGUGAAGAAGGUUUUCGGAUCGUAAAGCUCUGUUGUAAGAGAAGAACGAGUGUGAGAGUGGAAAGUUCACACUGUGACGGUAACUUACCAGAAAGGGACGGCUAACUACGUGCCAGCAGCCGCGGUAAUACGUAGGUCCCGAGCGUUAUCCGGAUUUAUUGGGCGUAAAGCGAGCGCAGGCGGUUAGAUAAGUCUGAAGUUAAAGGCUGUGGCUUAACCAUAGUACGCUUUGGAAACUGUUUAACUUGAGUGCAGAAGGGGAGAGUGGAAUUCCAUGUGUAGCGGUGAAAUGCGUAGAUAUAUGGAGGAACACCGGUGGCGAAAGCGGCUCUCUGGUCUG
RNAcentral lists this ribosomal RNA (681 nucleotides) under uncultured Bacilli bacterium. RNAcentral's name for it is "bacterial SSU rRNA". It matches the Rfam family "Bacterial small subunit ribosomal RNA", at positions 69 to 736 of the family's 1533-position model. The record is from RNAcentral. Lineage: Bacteria; Bacillati; Bacillota; Bacilli.